RNAcentral lists this ribosomal RNA (2391 nucleotides) under Triticum aestivum (bread wheat). Its description in RNAcentral is "partial small subunit ribosomal RNA". Lineage: Eukaryota; Viridiplantae; Streptophyta; Magnoliopsida; Poales; Poaceae. The record is from RNAcentral.
AUGCAAAGGUCAGCACCAAGGCCAGAGACUAGCCCAGCUUCAAUGAAAGAACUGAUGUUAGAGCUUGGCUUCAAAGAUACAAAGUUCGCGCCAAAACAACUGUUCGAGAAGCUACAAAUAUUGGUGGAAAUAGAUGAUGAAGAAUCAAACAGGAAAUCGGUUAAAAUAUUUUUCCUUAUUUUUUUCCACAAUGUUGUCUGCGGGUCAAGCACCGCUAUCUUCGCCCGGACAGCUAUAAUGGUCAAGGACAUGGACUAUCCAGAAAUGGCAAAGAUGGAUUUUUGUGAGGUAAUCGUUGAAUGUAUUAGGGAAGGAGCCAAGACAUGGCAGAAGCACAGGAUGUUUCCUCGGGAGGAAAAGAACAAAAAGCACAUCAAUGGUUUGGCACAGGUACCAGUAAUCAUGUACCUUGACUCCCACCUGCUGCCAACCGACACAAAAGAAAUGCGGAAGAUUGCAAAGACAAUGGACAAAAUCUCAUUACCACGAGCAAACCAUCUCAAAGAGAGUGACCUAGCGAAAAUAGCUAGAGCAGACAUGAAAAUGGACGGAAAAGCACGACCAGAUGACUAUGAAUUUGGCAAGAUACAGGAACGUACCAAUAGCACACCAGGCCAAGAUGAACUCCAACAGCGGGAUGGCGUCAACAACCCCAAAAACAAGAAUGAACGCAACAAACAAAGCAACCUCACAACAAACAGUGCUACAACAUCAACUACUCCAACACAAGCACAAGAUACGAUCGACGUCAGAACCAGUGAAGAGGCUCAGCUGAAGAACAAUCAAGUCAGCAGUACCGUCAACCAAAUGCAGGAGGCUCACCCACAAUCAACCGUUAGCAUAACAAACGACAAAGAAGAAGAAAACAACGAAGAGGAGGUAUCACAAUCACUCCAAGACCAAGAGACAACCAGUGUUGAAAUUGAACCCCAUAGUGAACCUCAAACAGACGAAGGAGUCACAGAACAGGAAGUUUGUGCACAAGAGAUUUCCAGUGCCACGACAUUGCAGAUCACCAUCACGAGUACAAAGGAGAAAACCCAAGACAUCCAAGCCAAUGAGGAACUAGAGACUGUUAUACCUGGCAAAGAAAUAGUCGAUGCGGGCACAAAUAACCCAGUCAUCAACACAGAGGAAACAAACAAGUACAUUGAUCUGGAAGAUCAAGAAGCAGCGCAACCAAAGGAAACUGGAAAACACCCAGAACUUCAAACAACAACAUCUGAAGAGAGAGAGGAGACAGAUGAGGAAAAGGAGGCCAAAGAAGAAGAGCAAAAUGUUCAUCAAACGGCAGACAUCAACGUCAAAGAAGACCAAGCGCCAAAAUAUUCACUCACCGAAAAAACCACAGCAGAGACGGCAGCAGCGACAGCGACUGAAAAGUUCCUUCUACCAUGUUCGUUGAGCGGGUUUGAGCAAGACGAAACUAUAAGUCAUUACUUCACCAUCACAGUUAACAUGCAAAAACAGCGUUUUGAACUCCUCGACUCUUCAACUGCAUAUCCAGGCACAAUAGAAUUCUUCAACAAUGUAACCAGCAAAUUAAUGAAAAUCUGGAAGCACAUAAGCACAGAGCUACAGCUUUCAGAAAAAAGCAUCGACCAUUACAAAAAGGUCAUACUGCAGGUGCCACUUCAAGGAGAAGACACAAUGGAUUGCGCAUUCUACAUGUACAUGAACCUGAAGCACUACUCCAGUGAUGGAACAACAGCAACCUUAAAGCUAGAACAAGUACGAAAGUUGAGGAAAAAGGUUCUAUAUCAACUAAUCAGCCAACACAGAGGGAAUACAAAACUGUCACUAAUCAAGUGUAGAACAGAUAUGCUGAAAUAUGAAGUAGAUAUGGAAGACAAAGAAAUACAACAAGCAGAAUGUUGCGUACUAGAAGAGUUUCCGCCAACUACCGGGCCAAAAGAACAUAUUAUGCAUGCGGCAACCACACAAGAGCAUGAAGUUAUUGAUAUAUCCAGUAAACGCAAAGAUAUUAUGGAUGUCAGCAGCCACGCCGUCGCCCAGCAAUCUUUCACAGUCCACGAACAAAAUGAUCCACCAAUAGAACCAGAUCAACCACCACCAGACGACAAGAUACCACACCAUGCCGAAGAGGAAACAGACAAGCAAAAUAUCAACAGCAAUAUCACGACCACAGAGCAACUGGAACAAACAGGCACUGAUUUAAAAGAGGAUGGCAGAAGCAACGACGUACCAAAUACACAACAACAGGUUUCCGAGCAGAAGAAACAGCAUGUUCUUCUUCAAGAAGAAACAGGCUCAACAAGCAAUCAGCAAGGCACCUCCAGCACCAUCUCUUUAGACUUCCUAAAACCAAAACAAUGGAAAAGCAAGAAGAAGUUGACGAAUUUCUUUCAAGCCUUAACCCACUACAACUAG